GUUUGACUGGGGCGGUCUCCUCCCAAAGCGUAACGGAGGAGCACGAAGGUUAGCUAAUCCUGGUCGGACAUCAGGAGGUUAGUGCAAUGGCAUAAGCUAGCUUGACUGCGAGCGUGACGGCGCGAGCAGGUGCGAAAGCAGGUCAUAGUGAUCCGGUGGUUCUGAAUGGAAGGGCCAUCGCUCAACGGAUAAAAGGUACUCCGGGGAUAACAGGCUGAUACCGCCCAAGAGUUCAUAUCGACGGCGGUGUUUGGCACCUCGAUGUCGGCUCAUCACAUCCUGGGGCUGAAGUAGGUCCCAAGGGUAUGGCUGUUCGCCAUUUAAAGUGGUACGCGAGCUGGGUUUAGAACGUCGUGAGACAGUUCGGUCCCUAUCUGCCGUGGGCGCUGGAGAAUUGAGGGGGGCUGCUCCUAGUACGAGAGGACCGGAGUGGACGCAUCACUGGUGUUCGGGUUGUCAUGCCAAUGGCACUGCCCGGUAGCUAAAUGCGGAAGAGAUAAGUGCUGAAAGCAUCUAAGCACGAAACUUGCCCCGAGAUGAGUUCUCCCUGAGACUUUAAGUCUCCUGAAGGAACGUU
This 577-nucleotide ribosomal RNA is filed under the name Klebsiella pneumoniae. RNAcentral's name for it is "partial 23S ribosomal RNA". It matches the Rfam family "Bacterial large subunit ribosomal RNA", at positions 2268 to 2839 of the family's 2925-position model. The record is from RNAcentral. Lineage: Bacteria; Pseudomonadati; Pseudomonadota; Gammaproteobacteria; Enterobacterales; Enterobacteriaceae.